This is a non-coding RNA of Tauraco erythrolophus (red-crested turaco), 577 nucleotides long. The record is from RefSeq and is a predicted model, not a curated record. Lineage: Eukaryota; Metazoa; Chordata; Aves; Musophagiformes; Musophagidae.
AGGGAAGUUUCAGAUGCAGGUCCUCCCGCAGUGUGGCCAUGCAGUCCAUGAAGAUGCUCCAGACAAGGUUGCUGAAGCUGUUGCAACAUUCCUGAUCCGUCACAGGUUUACAGAGCCCAUCGGUGGAUUCCAGUGCGUGUUUCCUGCUUGUUAAUACCCUGGUGUUCUCCAGCACUGAGUCCUGUUGUAAAUAAACUGCACCAGAGGCCACUGUGAUGUAUCCAUAUCCUUUCAUCUCUCCAGUUCAGCAGCAGUGAGAAGUUGGUGUGAGAUUCAUCCCCUAGAACUAGUUCUCCAGAAUGUCUAAAUGCUUAGGGACUUCCUUGCUGGGAAGCAGCUUGUACUGAAGACCAUGAAAAGCUCUUCAGGCCCUUGGAAGUGGGCUCCUCUCUGCUGCCGCAAGGAAAGACCUCCUGAAAUCCCAAGUAGUCGAUCAUACCGAUCUCCAUCAAUUCUCAGGCUUUCCUGGACCCAACUAAGGGGCUGUUGGAAGUCCAGAUCCACCGAGGGCAUUGCAGCAGAGCCAAAGGCUUCAGGAUUUCUCCAUGGAGUUGUCUAAUCGUCUUCAAAGUGCCCC